Non-coding RNA from Triticum aestivum (bread wheat), 125 nucleotides. Lineage: Eukaryota; Viridiplantae; Streptophyta; Magnoliopsida; Poales; Poaceae. The record is from Rfam.
UAACUACCCACUCCGUCCGAAAAUACUUGUCGGAGCAAUGGAUGUAUCUAGAUGUAUUUUAGUUCUAGAUACAUCCAUUUUUAUCCAUUUCUCCAAUAAAUAUUUCUGGACGGAGGGAGUAAUUU